GACGAACGCUGGCGGCGUGCUUAACACAUGCAAGUCGAACGGAAAGGCCCUGCUUUUGUGGGGUGCUCGAGUGGCGAACGGGUGAGUAACACGUGAGUAACCUGCCCUUGACUUUGGGAUAACUUCAGGAAACUGGGGCUAAUACCGGAUAGGAGCUCCUGCUGCAUGGUGGGGGUUGGAAAGUUUCGGCGGUUGGGGAUGGACUCGCGGCUUACCAGCUUGUUGGUGGGGUAGUGGCUUACCAAGGCUUUGACGGGUAGCCGGCCUGAGAGGGUGACCGGCCACAUUGGGACUGAGAUACGGCCCAGACUCCUACGGGAGGCAGCAGUGGGGAAUAUUGCACAAUGGGCGGAAGCCUGAUGCAGCAACGCCGCGUGCGGGAUGACGGCCUUCGGGUUGUAAACCGCUUUCGCCUGUGACGAAGCGUGAGUGACGGUAACGGGUAAAGAAGCACCGGCUAACUACGUG
RNAcentral lists this ribosomal RNA (468 nucleotides) under uncultured bacterium. Its description in RNAcentral is "partial 16S ribosomal RNA". It matches the Rfam family "Bacterial small subunit ribosomal RNA", at positions 28 to 507 of the family's 1533-position model. The record is from RNAcentral.